Mytilus trossulus (common blue mussel) is the source of this 416-nucleotide long non-coding RNA. RefSeq lists it as uncharacterized. The transcript has 3 exons. The record is from RefSeq and is a predicted model, not a curated record. Lineage: Eukaryota; Metazoa; Mollusca; Bivalvia; Mytilida; Mytilidae.
AUAAUAGUGCAUGUUCAGCAAUCCUCGGGUUUUACCGCCGCAUACUACGAAAACUCUGAGCAUGCGCACUUUUACCGCCUGAAUUUUGAAAACAGUGAUAAAAGUUGCAGUGAAAUCUAUCUCGAUUCAGAUUCCAGAACAAAGAAAAAGAAUCUUGUAUAAAAAUUCACAGAUCCAAUGUGUGAUCAUGUGUCUGAGGUUGUGGAAUGCACAAGAUGGACCAAGAUAUAAAAAGAGACUGGAAACCAACACAAGACCAGCUGAUGAGAGGGCAGAAAACCAAAACUUUGAAUGCCACGUAUACAACCGACACAAGACUAGAAUUUGGAAUAAAAUUUCAAAAAAUCAGAAACAUACUAUUAUUUUAUUAUUGGUUCAUGUACAUAAGAAAAAAGAAGUCCUAACUUUUGGGUAGG